Small nuclear RNA from Monodelphis domestica (gray short-tailed opossum), 110 nucleotides. Lineage: Eukaryota; Metazoa; Chordata; Mammalia; Didelphimorphia; Didelphidae. The record is from Ensembl.
AUGCUUGCUUCGGCAGCACAUAUACUAAAAUUGGAAUGGUAUAGAGAAGAUUAGCAUGGCCCCUGUGCAAGGAUGGCAUUCAGUUUCGUGAAGCACCACACCCAACCUCU